RNAcentral lists this ribosomal RNA (459 nucleotides) under uncultured bacterium. RNAcentral's name for it is "partial 16S ribosomal RNA". It matches the Rfam family "Bacterial small subunit ribosomal RNA", at positions 338 to 795 of the family's 1533-position model. The record is from RNAcentral.
CCUACGGGGGGCAGCAGUGAGGAAUAUUGGUCAAUGGGCGGGAGCCUGAACCAGCCAAGUCGCGUGAAGGAAGAAGGUACUUAGUAUUGUAAACUUCUUUUGUCGGGGAACAAAGGCGGAGACGCGUCUCCGGAUGAGUGUACCCGAAGAAAAAGCAUCGGCUAACUCCGUGCCAGCAGCCGCGGUAAUACGGAGGAUGCGAUGGUUAUCCGGAUUUGUUGGGUUUAAAGGGUGCGCAGGCGGGAGAUCAAGUCAGCGGUAAAAUGUCGGGGCUCAACCCCGGCCGGCCGUUGAUACUGGUUGUCUAGAGUUGGAGAGAGGUAUGCGGAAUUCGUGGUGUAGCGGUGAAAUGCAUAGAUAUCGCGAAGAACUCCGAUGGCGAAGGCAGCAUACCGGCUCCAAACUGACGCUGAGGCACGAAAGCGUGGGGAUCGAACAGGAUUAGAUACCCGAGUAGUC